GGAGAGGUGCGAGAGUGGCCGAAUCGGAGCAGUCUGUAAGACUGCUGUCCUGGCAACGGGACCGUGGGUUCGAUCCCCACCCUCUCCGCCA
Molecule: transfer RNA, 91 nt
Filed under: Nitrospira sp.
Lineage: Bacteria; Pseudomonadati; Nitrospirota; Nitrospiria; Nitrospirales; Nitrospiraceae
Description: tRNA-Tyr
Rfam family: tRNA
About the family: Transfer RNA (tRNA) molecules are approximately 80 nucleotides in length.
Source: RNAcentral